Molecule: ribosomal RNA, 402 nt
Filed under: Bacteroidota bacterium
Lineage: Bacteria; Pseudomonadati; Bacteroidota
Also listed under: 2 other names
Description: Bacteroidetes bacterium partial 16S ribosomal RNA
Rfam family: Bacterial small subunit ribosomal RNA
Source: RNAcentral
UGGGGAAUUUUGCACAAUGGGGGAAACCCUGAUGCAGCGACGCCGCGUGAUUUAGAAGGCCUUCGGGUUGUAAAAAUCUUUUGUAUAGGAAGAAAAUGACAGUACUAUACGAAUAAGGACCGGCUAAUUACGUGCCAGCAGCCGCGGUAAUACGUAAGGUCCGAGCGUUGUCCGGAAUCAUUGGGCGUAAAGGGUACGUAGGCGGGUAAGCAAGUUAGAAGUGAAAUCCUAUAGCUCAACUAUAGUAAGCUUUUAAAACUGCUCAUCUUGAGGUAUGGAAGGGAAAGUGGAAUUCCUAGUGUAGCGGUGAAAUGCGCAGAUAUUAGGAGGAAUACCGGUGGCGAAGGCGACUUUCUGGCCAUAACCUGACGCUGAGGUACGAAAGCGUGGGUAGCAAACAGG